UUUUUGGAGAGUUUGAUCCUGGCUCAGGAUGAACGCUGGCGGCAUGCCUAAGACAUGCAAGUCGAACGGAGCGGCCCAUUGAAAUGGAGUGCUUGCACAAAGUGGAUUUGGAUUCCCGCUUAGUGGCGAAAGGGUGAGUAACACGUGGGUUAUCUACCUCAGAGACUGGAAUAACAAUUGGAAACGAUUGCUAAUGCCGGAUGAUAUAUAAAACGAUACGUUGUUUUAUAUUAAAAGGAGCCUUUAAAGCUUCACUUUGAGAUGAGCCCGCGGCGU
Clostridium sp. CAG:710 is the source of this 276-nucleotide non-coding RNA. Lineage: Bacteria; Bacillati; Bacillota; Clostridia; Eubacteriales; Clostridiaceae. The record is from Rfam.